This 2194-nucleotide ribosomal RNA is filed under the name human gut metagenome. RNAcentral's name for it is "bacterial LSU rRNA". It matches the Rfam family "Bacterial large subunit ribosomal RNA", at positions 749 to 2821 of the family's 2925-position model. The record is from RNAcentral.
AGCGUCGGUAAGACGUCGUGGAGGUCCGAACCCACUUCAGUUGAAAAUGGAGGGGAUGAGCUGUGGAUAGGGGUGAAAGGCCAAUCAAACACCGUGAUAGCUGGUUCUCCCCGAAAUGCAUUUAGGUGCAGCGUUGCGUGGUUCUUGUCGGAGGUAGAGCACUGGAUGGUCUAGGGGGCCUAUCAGCUUACCGAAAUCAGCCAAACUCCGAAUGCCGGCAAGUGGAGCGUGGCAGUGAGACGGCGGGGGAUAAGCUUCGUCGUCGAGAGGGAAACAGCCCAGAUCAUCAGCUAAGGCCCCUAAGUGGUAGCUCAGUGGAAAAGGAUGUGGAGUUGCGCAGACAGCCAGGAGGUUGGCUUGGAAGCAGCCAUCCUUGAAAGAGUGCGUAAUAGCUCACUGGUCAAGUGAUUCCGCGCCGACAAUGUAGCGGGGCUUAAGUUAUCCGCCGAAGCUGUGGCAGAUCCCCUUGUGUGGGGGUUUGGGUAGGGGAGCGUCCUGUACGAGGUGAAGCUGCCGGGUGACCGUGUGGUGGAUUGUGCGGGAGUGAGAAUGCAGGCAUGAGUAGCGAAUGACGGGUGGGAAACCCGUCCGCCGAUUAUCCAAGGGUUCCAGGGUCAAGUUAAUCUGCCCUGGGUGAGUCGGGACCUAAGGCGAGGCCGACAGGCGUAGUCGAUGGAUAACCAGUUGAUAUUCUGGUACCGGCUUGUCACCGUCCGUGUCGAGGUGUGUGAUGCUAAGCGUGCGAGCCUGCCAUUGUGAUGUCUUUGAUGUUGUGGUGGUGUGGUGAGUGUGUGAACCGAUCAUGUAGUAGGCAAGCUGCGGAGGGACGCAGGGAGGUAGCUCAUCCCCGGCGAUGGUUGUCCGGGGCUAAAUGUGUGGACCGUCUGGUAGGUAAAUCCGCCAGGGUUGUGGUUGAGGCAUGAUGGCGAGCCCACGUGUGUGGGUGAGUGAGUGAUCCUGUACUGUCGAGAAAAGCUUCGUGAGCGAGGUGGCUGGUCCGCCCGUACCCUAAACCGACACUGGUGGAUAGGUAGAGUAUACCGAGGCGAUCGAGAUCAUCAUGGUGAAGGAACUCGGCAAAAUGCCCCCGUAACUUCGGGAUAAGGGGGACCUGAACUGUUAAGGCCUGUACGGCUGGUAGCAGUGAGGGGCGCAGAGACCAGGGGGAAACGACUGUUUACCAAAAACACAGGUCCGUGCGAAGUCGUAAGACGAUGUAUACGGACUGACUCCUGCCCGGUGCUGGAAGGUUAAGGGGAACUGUUAGCGUUGGCGAAGCGGUGAACUUAAGCCCCAGUAAACGGCGGUGGUAACUAUAACCAUCCUAAGGUAGCGAAAUUCCUUGUCGGGUAAGUUCCGACCUGCACGAAUGGAGUAACGAUUUCCCUACUGUCUCCACCAUGAACUCGGUGAAAUUGCAGUACGAGUAAAGAUGCUCGUUACGCGCAGCAGGACGGAAAGACCCCGGGACCUUUACUAUAGUUUGGUAUUGGUGAUUGGGACGACUUGUGUAGGAUAGGUGGGAGACUGUGAAGUGGCCACGCUAGUGGUUGUGGAGUCAUUGUUGAAAUACCACUCUGGUCGUUCUGGUUAUCUAACUUUGGGCCGUGAUCCGGUUCAGGGACAGUGCCUGAUGGGUAGUUUGACUGGGGCGGUCGCCUCCUAAAAGGUAACGGAGGCGCCCAAAGGUUCCCUCAGAAUGGUUGGAAAUCAUUCGAAGAGUGUAAAGGCAGAAGGGAGCUUGACUGCGAGACCUACAAGUCGAGCAGGGACGAAAGUCGGGCUUAGUGAUCCGGUGGUUCCGCAUGGAAGGGCCAUCGCUCAACGGAUAAAAGCUACCCUGGGGAUAACAGGCUUAUCUCCCCCAAGAGUCCACAUCGACGGGGAGGUUUGGCACCUCGAUGUCGGCUCGUCGCAUCCUGGGGCUGUAGUCGGUCCCAAGGGUUGGGCUGUUCGCCCAUUAAAGCGGCACGCGAGCUGGGUUCAGAACGUCGUGAGACAGUUCGGUCCCUAUCCGUCGCGGGCGUUGGAAAUUUGAGAGGAGCUGUCCUUAGUACGAGAGGACCGGGAUGGACUUACCGCUGGUGUACCAGUUGUUCUGCCAAGGGCAUUGCUGGGUAGCUAUGUAGGGAAGGGAUAAACGCUGAAAGCAUCUAAGUGUGAAGCCCACCUCAAGAUGAGAUUUCCCAUUUCU